This 752-nucleotide ribosomal RNA is filed under the name uncultured Acidobacteriota bacterium. Its description in RNAcentral is "bacterial SSU rRNA". It matches the Rfam family "Bacterial small subunit ribosomal RNA", at positions 37 to 839 of the family's 1533-position model. Lineage: Bacteria; Pseudomonadati; Acidobacteriota. The record is from RNAcentral.
UGGCGGCGUGCUUAACACAUGCAAGUCGAGCGCGCCCGAGCAAACGGGUGGCGCACGGCGCACGGGUGCGUAACACGUGGGCAACCUGCCCUCGGAUGGGGAAUAACUCGCCGAAGGCGAGCUAAUACCGCAUAACACUCAUUCAAAGUCGUAAGACUCCGAGGAGGGGCCCGCGCCCGAUUAGCUAGUUGGCGAGGUAACGGCUCACCAAGGCUAUGAUCGGUAGCCGGUCUGAGAGGAUGGCCGGCCACACUGGAACUGAGACACGGUCCAGACUCCUACGGGAGGCAGCAGUGGGGAAUCUUGCGCAAUGGGCGAAAGCCUGACGCAGCGACGCCGCGUGGGGGAUGAAGCUUUUCGGAGUGUAAACCCCUUUCGACCGGGACGAAACUGACGGUACCGGAAGAAGAAGCCCCGGCUAACUUCGUGCCAGCAGCCGCGGUAAUACGAGGGGGGCGAGCGUUGUUCGGAAUUAUUGGGCGUAAAGGGUGCGUAGGCGGUUUGGUAAGUCUUGUGUGAAAUCUACAGGCUCAACUUGUAGUCUGCACGAGAAAUUGCCGGGCUUGAGUGUGGGAGAGGUGAGUGGAAUUCCUGGUGUAGGGUGAAAUGCGUAGAUAUCAGGAGGACACCUGUGGCGAAAGCGGCUCACUGGACCACACUGACGCUGAUGCACGAAAGCUAGGGGAGCAACAGGAUUAGAUACCCUGGUAGUCCUAGCCCUAAACGAUGACUGCUUGUUUUGACGGGUACCC